RNAcentral lists this ribosomal RNA (492 nucleotides) under uncultured bacterium. Its description in RNAcentral is "partial 16S ribosomal RNA". It matches the Rfam family "Bacterial small subunit ribosomal RNA", at positions 28 to 507 of the family's 1533-position model. The record is from RNAcentral.
GAUGAACGCUCGCUACAGGCUUAACACAUGCAAGUCGAGGGGAAACGACAUCGAAAGCUUGCUUUUGAUGGGCGUCGACCGGCGCACGGGUGAGUAACGCGUAUCCAACCUGCCCACCACUUGGGGAUAACCUUGCGAAAGUAAGACUAAUACCCAAUGAUAUCUCUAGAAGACAUCUGAAAGAGAUUAAAGAUUUAUCGGUGAUGGAUGGGGAUGCGUCUGAUUAGCUUGUUGGCGGGGUAACGGCCCACCAAGGCAACGAUCAGUAGGGGUUCUGAGAGGAAGGUCCCCCACAUUGGAACUGAGACACGGUCCAAACUCCUACGGGAGGCAGCAGUGAGGAAUAUUGGUCAAUGGACGAGAGUCUGAACCAGCCAAGUAGCGUGCAGGAAGACGGCCCUAUGGGUUGUAAACUGCUUUUAGAAGGGAAUAAAGUGAGUCUCGUGAGACUUUUUGCAUGUACCUUAUGAAUAAGGACCGGCUAAUUCCGUG